UACGUAGGGUGCGAGCGUUGUCCGGAAUUAUUGGGCGUAAAGAGCUUGUAGGCGGUUUGUCGCUUCUGCUGUGAAAAUCCGGGGCUCAACCCCGGACUUGCAGUGGGUACGGGCAGACUAGAGUGUGGUAGGGGAGACUGGAAUUCCUGGUGUAGCGGUGAAAUGCGCAGAUAUCAGGAGGAACACCGAUGGCGAAGGCAGGUCUCUGGGCCACUACUGACGCUGAGAAGCGAAAGCAUGGGGAGCGAACAGG
Molecule: ribosomal RNA, 253 nt
Filed under: uncultured bacterium
Lineage: Bacteria
Description: partial 16S ribosomal RNA
Rfam family: Bacterial small subunit ribosomal RNA
Source: RNAcentral